Ananas comosus (pineapple) is the source of this 1325-nucleotide long non-coding RNA. RefSeq lists it as uncharacterized. NCBI's taxonomy places the organism in Eukaryota, Viridiplantae, Streptophyta, Magnoliopsida, Poales, Bromeliaceae. The transcript is spliced from 2 exons. The record is from RefSeq and is a predicted model, not a curated record.
GCCCUGGGUUGAUGACUAGGGUGGAGAGAUCGAGAGGCUUCGAGCGGGAACGGGCGAUUGCCGGUAAUAAUUAAACGGUCACUCGCGUUCAACCUGAGAAGUUUCCAGAGGGAGCAUCACUAGUGAUUAUUGCAUAAGCACCCUCCUAAAUUUAGAUAUUGUUUAUAUUAUCCUCAAAAUUCUAAGUUGGACCAAAAUGUAAAGUUUUUUGAUCUUUUAUUUAAAUUUUAUGACUUAAUUUAGAUUGAUUCGCUCCUCCAUUUUCUCCCGCAAUUCUCGGAGGGAUCCCGACCUCCCUCUCCGCCGAAACCCUAACCCCAUUAGAGCUACUGUUUCGCGAGCUCGAUCUCCUCCAUGGAUGGAAAUGGUGGUGGUGGUGGGCACUACCAUGCUCUAUCUCCGGAGGGGGGGUGUUUAGGGUAAUCCGGAGUUAGGAGAGUUGAAUGACUGCUGAAAGAAGUAUGAUGUCGGGGGAUUUUUAUGCUAUGCCAAGCUUUUUUUGGCUUGUGAUGCUUCCUGCAUGGUAUAAGCAUUACGCUGGAGCUCAGGCUUUUGAUGAUGCUUCUAUAAUGCUUUUGCAAAGAUUCUUUGGUGAUUCACAGUUGUGCCGUAGUCCUGAGAAGAGCUUUGACAGUAGUGAUGAGCGUCAAGAGAAGUGACUAGAGUUUAGAGUGCUGCGGGGGGUUCAAGCCGUGGGUGUGAAGGAGAAGAAAAAUGAAGUAGAAAAUUGUAAUGGAAUUUGACAGUAACUGGGAAAAGGAUUACAUGAGUUUAAGUUAUUUUUCGGAUUUGGAUUGAAUACUGUCUCCGCACCACUUCGAUGAGCAAGUUCGUUCCCCCAACGCUUUCUGCCAUUGUGGAAUACCUCUAGCAGAAUGCAACAUGUUGGCAAGCUCUCAGCAGCCUAGAGUCUGUACUGAUGUCGGCAGACUACAUAGCAGACCUGCACAAGGUGGUGUACCGGUGAGGAAAUCCAUGUUUAAGACGUAUAGUGACUUUCUAAUGAAAGAUGUUACAAUCAGGUAAUAUUUUCCCAAACAUUUCCAAGUUCUGGUGUUGCAAGUUUAGAUUGCUUUAUUGGAGAACGGAAGGAUAUACUGUAAUGAAAUACAGGUAGUAUUACAAGCGAAUGAAAAGUUGACAUGCAGUGUGAUGUGAGUUUAUAUAAGGUUAAGAACAUUUUAGGGAGAAUAGGUAGCAAAAGAACUACAAUUUUAAUGGCUUUUAGCGUGUAUGCUGAUUUUUUAUUGCCUUGUGAUACUUCCCACAUUCUCAUAACUGUUACAUGAAGACUUCUCUCUACUUUCGACCUAUAUAUUCUGAAA